This 274-nucleotide ribosomal RNA is filed under the name uncultured bacterium. RNAcentral describes it as "partial 16S ribosomal RNA". It matches the Rfam family "Bacterial small subunit ribosomal RNA", at positions 523 to 796 of the family's 1533-position model. The record is from RNAcentral.
CUACGGAGGGUGCAAGCGUUAAUCGGAAUUACUGGGCGUAAAGCGCGCGUAGGCGGUUUGAUCAGUCGGAUGUGAAAGCCCUGGGCUCAACCUGGGAACUGCAUUCGAUACUGUCAGACUAGAAUAUGGUAGAGGGUAGUGGAAUUCCUGGUGUAGCGGUGAAAUGCGUAGAUAUCAGGAGGAACAUCAGUGGCGAAGGCGACUGUCUGGCUCAACACUGACGCUGAGGUGCGAAAGCGUGGGUAGCAAACAGGAUUAGAAACCCUUGUAGUCC